Molecule: non-coding RNA, 82 nt
Organism: Podarcis lilfordi (Lilford's wall lizard)
Lineage: Eukaryota; Metazoa; Chordata; Lepidosauria; Squamata; Lacertidae
Source: the annotation of a GenBank genome assembly
GAAGGUGACUAGCUCAGUUGGUUAGAGCAUGGUGCUGAUGAUGCCAAGGUUUCGGGUUUGAGCCCCAUAUAGGACACCUGCA